RNAcentral lists this ribosomal RNA (503 nucleotides) under uncultured bacterium. RNAcentral's name for it is "bacterial SSU rRNA". It matches the Rfam family "Bacterial small subunit ribosomal RNA", at positions 8 to 518 of the family's 1533-position model. The record is from RNAcentral.
AGAGUUUGAUUAUGGCUCAGGAUGAACGCUGGCGGCGUGCUUAACACAUGCAAGUCGAACGGAGCUUAUUGGAAAGCUUGCUUUCGUUAAGCUUAGUGGCGGACGGGUGAGUAACGCGUGAGCAACCUGCCCUAGAGUGGGGAAUAACACCGAGAAAUCGGUGCUAAUACCGCAUAAUGUCGGAGGACCGCAUGAUCCACCGACCAAAGGAUUUAUUCGCUUUAGGAUGGGCUCGCGUCCGAUUAGGCAGUUGGCGGGGUAACGGCCCACCAAACCAACGAUCGGUAGCCGAACUGAGAGGUUGAUCGGCCACAUUGGGACUGAGACACGGCCCAGACUCCUACGGGAGGCAGCAGUGGGGAAUAUUGGGCAAUGGGCGAAAGCCUGACCCAGCAACGCCGCGUGAAGGAUGAAGGUCUUCGGAUUGUAAACUUCUUUGAUUGGGGAAGAAUAAAUGACCUACCCAAAGAACAAGUCACGGCUAACUACGUGCCAGCAGCAGC